This 310-nucleotide ribosomal RNA is filed under the name Staphylococcus sp. HMSC065A08. Its description in RNAcentral is "partial 16S ribosomal RNA". It matches the Rfam family "Bacterial small subunit ribosomal RNA", at positions 1233 to 1533 of the family's 1533-position model. The record is from RNAcentral. Lineage: Bacteria; Bacillati; Bacillota; Bacilli; Caryophanales; Staphylococcaceae.
GACAAUACAAAGGGCAGCUAAACCGCGAGGUCAUGCAAAUCCCAUAAAGUUGUUCUCAGUUCGGAUUGUAGUCUGCAACUCGACUACAUGAAGCUGGAAUCGCUAGUAAUCGUAGAUCAGCAUGCUACGGUGAAUACGUUCCCGGGUCUUGUACACACCGCCCGUCACACCACGAGAGUUUGUAACACCCGAAGCCGGUGGAGUAACCAUUUAUGGAGCUAGCCGUCGAAGGUGGGACAAAUGAUUGGGGUGAAGUCGUAACAAGGUAGCCGUAUCGGAAGGUGCGGCUGGAUCACCUCCUUUCUAAGGA